Molecule: transfer RNA, 72 nt
Filed under: Heterocephalus glaber (naked mole-rat)
Lineage: Eukaryota; Metazoa; Chordata; Mammalia; Rodentia; Bathyergidae
Rfam family: tRNA
About the family: Transfer RNA (tRNA) molecules are approximately 80 nucleotides in length. Their secondary structure includes four short double-helical elements and three loops (D, anti-codon, and T loops).
Source: Rfam by way of RNAcentral
GGGGAUGUUGCUCAGUGGCAGAGCACUGGCCUAAAAUGCCUGAGGCUCUGGGUUCAAUCCACAGUGCUACCA